AUGCAGGUUUGUGGCGUUCAGUUGAGCUCAGCAACAUCUCGCUGCCGAGAAUCAUGGUCGCCAUUUGGGAGUCAAAGACCGUUAUGUAGAGUACAAUGCUGUCAGGUGCCACCUUCUACUAGAAAUGUAGCUCAUCUUCAGAAGUAGGACAAAUAUUCUUGUGUUGAUAGGUCAACUUCUUAUCUGCACGUGCAAACUCUUAGGAAUUUCCCAAUUGAAAAACUUUAUGGAGAGGUGGUCCUGUUGUGACUUGAUUCUGUUCUUCUUUUGGAUCCUCUAGGAUUAUUUAGUUGCUCACUGAAAAGGACACUGUCAACUAUCAAAUACCUGUACAAAGCAGGAGGGAAAGUUCUUCUAGUUACCAGUCCCCCAGUUUGUUAAUCCAGUGUUCAAAAAAUAAUCUGUCAUAAAUGCUGAUAGUCAGACUAUAUGUCAGCGCUUCUUCAAGUAAAGGUCAUCCCGGUGGAUGGUGUCCCUUGUUUAACAUCAUGUAAGAAGGAAGAAUGGGUGCAGAAUGAUAUUAUCUUGUUUGAAAAUCUUUUGAACUUCAGGGGAGAAAAUGCAAACUGCAAUAAUUUUUCUCAGAAGCUAGCGUCAGGUGCAGCAAUCUUUGUCAAUGAUUCUUUCUCAUUGUCUCAUAAGAUUCACGCAUCAACGGUUGGCAUCACUCGUUUCUGCUAUGCAUCUCUUGCUGGUUUCCAUUUUGAGGAGGAGCUUAUGCAAUCGCUAAAGAUCAAUGACACCACAAGGCCAUACAUAGCAAUAAUUGGAGGCAGUAACUUCUUGAGAAAGGCACCUGCACCGCAUCUGUUAGCCCAACGCGAUGGGUUGUUUCUUGUUGGAAAGUUAUCAUUUCAAAUAAUGAAUGGCCUUGGAAUUCCAGUGUCCUCCUGUUUGCUAGAAAAAAAUGCAACCAAGGAAGUGUUACAACUUAUUAAAAUAGCCCAUAAUAGGAACAUUCCUAUUUAUUAUCCAACAGACCUGUGGUGUUUGAACAGCAACAAUAAUGAACAACUCGAAAUAUUUGACUCAGCUGAACUAUUGUCUGGCUUAAUUUCUUUGGGCUGGACAUCAGUUGAUAUAGGGCCAUCAACAUUGGAGAUAAUUUUUUCUUUACUGUCAUCAUACAAGGAAGAUCCUUGGAUCGGUCCUACAAGCUUUGACUUGACAGAAGAAUUUUCUGUCGGGGCAACACAGUUGGGUCAGAUACUGAACAAAGCAAGUCAUAAUAGCUGUGAUGUUAUUUUAGUAGGGGCAGCAUGCAAGGCAGUAAAAGGAAUAUCAGAUUCUUCAUCACUAUAUACAUCAUUUGAAAAUGAAUCUAUUGUAUGGGAAUUUCUCGGAAGAAUAUUGCCUGGUAUUGUAGCAUUGGAUAAAAGCUAUCCCUAUCAGAGUCCAUGGGAUGACGUCUUCUCAGACACCAAACAGCCACUGCUUGUUGAUAUAGGAAGUGGAAAUGGUUUGCUUCUAUUCCAAAUGGCUAGAAACUGGGAAGGCUCGAAUUUUCUUGGUCUUGAGAUCAAUGAAAAGGUAAAAACUGCCUGUAUCCUGUAUUGGAUUUAG
Molecule: ribosomal RNA, 1563 nt
Filed under: Triticum aestivum (bread wheat)
Lineage: Eukaryota; Viridiplantae; Streptophyta; Magnoliopsida; Poales; Poaceae
Description: partial small subunit ribosomal RNA
Source: RNAcentral